Molecule: ribosomal RNA, 497 nt
Filed under: uncultured bacterium
Lineage: Bacteria
Description: partial 16S ribosomal RNA
Rfam family: Bacterial small subunit ribosomal RNA
Source: RNAcentral
GAUGAACGCUGGCGGCGUGCCUAAUACAUGCAAGUCGAGCGAACAGACGAGGAGCUUGCUCCUCUGACGUUAGCGGCGGACGGGUGAGUAACACGUGGAUAACCUACCUAUAAGACUGGGAUAACUUCGGGAAACCGGAUCUAAUACCGGAUAAUAUAUUGAACCGCAUGGUUCAAUAGUGAAAGACGGUUUUGCUGUCACUUAUAGAUGGAUCCGCGCCGCAUUAGUUAGUUGGUAAGGUAACGGCUUACCAAGGCAACGAUGCGUAGCCGACCUGAGAGGGUGAUCGGACAGACUGGAACUGAGACACAGUCCAGACUCCUACGGGAGGAAGCAGUAGGGAAUCUUACGCGAUGGGCGAAAGCCUGACGGAGCAACGCCGCGUGAGUGAUGAAGGUCUUCGGAUCGUAAAACUCUGUUAUUAGGGAAGAACAAAUGUGUAAGUAACUAUGAACGUCUUGACGGUACCUAAUCAGAAAGCCACGGCUAACUACGUG